This 275-nucleotide ribosomal RNA is filed under the name uncultured bacterium. Its description in RNAcentral is "partial 16S ribosomal RNA". It matches the Rfam family "Bacterial small subunit ribosomal RNA", at positions 338 to 630 of the family's 1533-position model. The record is from RNAcentral.
CCUACGGGAGGCUGCAGUGGGGAAUAUUGGACAAUGGGCGCAAGCCUGAUCCAGCCAUGCCGCGUGAGUGAUGAAGGCCCUAGGGUUGUAAAGCUCUUUCAGUGGGGACGAUAAUGACGGUACCCACAGAAGAAGCCCCGGCUAACUUCGUGCCAGCAGCCGCGGUAAUACGAAGGGGGCUAGCGUUGUUCGGAUUUACUGGGCGUAAAGCGCACGUAGGCGGAUCGUUAAGUCGGGGGUGAAAUCCUGGAGCUCAACUCCAGAACUGCCUUCGA